UUCCAGCUGACGAGUCCCAAACAGGACGAAACGCUCGCUCUGGAU
This 45-nucleotide non-coding RNA is filed under the name Schistosoma haematobium. Lineage: Eukaryota; Metazoa; Platyhelminthes; Trematoda; Strigeidida; Schistosomatidae. The record is from RNAcentral.